RNAcentral lists this ribosomal RNA (468 nucleotides) under uncultured bacterium. Its description in RNAcentral is "partial 16S ribosomal RNA". It matches the Rfam family "Bacterial small subunit ribosomal RNA", at positions 28 to 507 of the family's 1533-position model. The record is from RNAcentral.
GACGAACGCUGGCGGCGUGCUUAACACAUGCAAGUCGAACGGAAAGGUCCUGCUUUUUUGGGGUGCUCGAGUGGCGAACGGGUGAGUAACCCGUGAGUACCCUGCCCCUGCCUGUGGGAUAACUUCAGACCACUUAGGCUAUUACCGCAUAGGAGCUCCUGCUGCUUGGUGGGGGUUGGUUAGUUUCGGCGGUUGGGGAUGGACUCGCGGCUUAUCAGCUUGGUGCUGGGGUAGUGGCUUACCAAGGCUUUGACAGGUGGCCGGGCUGAGAGGGUGACCGGCCACACUGGGACUGAGAUACGACACAGACUCCUCUGGGAGGGAGAAGUGGAGAAGAGAGCACUAUGGGCGGAGGGCAGAUGCAGCAACGCAGCGUGCGGGAUGAGGUGCAGCGGGUUGGAAACCGCUGCUGUUUGUGCCGAAAUGUGAGUGACGGUAACGGGUAAAGAAGCACCGGCUAACUACGUG